UAGGGAAUAUUGCUCAAUGGGGGAAACCCUGAAGCAGCAACGCCGCGUGAGUGAUGAAGGCCUUCGGGUCGUAAAGCUCUGUUGUACGGGGCGAAUGCGGGUAUGGCUAAUAUCCAUAUCCAGUGACAGUACCGUAUAAGAAAGGACCGGCUAACUUCGUGCCAGCAGCCGCGGUAAGACGGGGGGUCCAAGCGUUGUUCGGAAUCAUUGGGCGUAAAGCGUGUGCAGGUGGUCUUGUAAGUUGGAUGUGAAAGCCCCGGGCUUAACCCGGGAAGUGCAUUCAAAACUGCAAAACUUGAGUAUGGAAGAGGGUCGUGGAAUUCCAGGUGUAGUGGUGAAAUACGUAGAUAUCUGGAGGAACACCGGUGGCGAAGGCGGCGACCUGGUCCUAUACUGACACUCAUACACGAAAGCGUGGGGAUCAAACAGGAUUAGAUACCCCCGUAGUCC
This 450-nucleotide ribosomal RNA is filed under the name uncultured bacterium. RNAcentral describes it as "bacterial SSU rRNA". It matches the Rfam family "Bacterial small subunit ribosomal RNA", at positions 355 to 796 of the family's 1533-position model. The record is from RNAcentral.